GAUGAACGCUGGCGGCGUGCUUAACACAUGCAAGUCGAAUGAUGAAGCUGGAGCUUGCUCUGGUGGAUUAGUGGCGAACGGGUGAGUAACACGUGAGCAACCUGCCCCUGACUCUGGGAUAACAGCCGGAAACGGCUGCUAAUACCGGAUAUGCACCAUGAACGCAUGUUCUGUGGUGGGAAAGAUUUUUCGGUUGGGGAUGGGCUCGCGGCCUAUCAGCUUGUUGGUGAGGUAAUGGCUCACCAAGGCGUCGACGGGUAGCCGGCCUGAGAGGGUGACCGGCCACACUGGGACUGAGACACGGCCCAGACUCCUACGGGAGGCAGCAGUGGGGAAUAUUGCACAAUGGGCGAAAGCCUGAUGCAGCAACGCCGCGUGAGGGAUGACGGCCUUCGGGUUGUAAACCUCUUUUAGCAGGGAAGAAGCGAGAGUGACGGUACCUGCAGAAAAAGCGCCGGCUAACUACGUG
RNAcentral lists this ribosomal RNA (469 nucleotides) under uncultured bacterium. Its description in RNAcentral is "partial 16S ribosomal RNA". It matches the Rfam family "Bacterial small subunit ribosomal RNA", at positions 28 to 507 of the family's 1533-position model. The record is from RNAcentral.